CCUCUCGACAAUGAGGAAUGGUGUCCUAUAUUCUUGCCGGACUAGACUAUGAUUACAUAUCGUUUGUCUCCUCCAUCUAUGCCGCAAGAACUGAACCAAUCAAGGUAGCUGAACCUUAUUCUCAACUGAUCAAUUUUGAAA
Molecule: non-coding RNA, 141 nt
Organism: Hordeum vulgare subsp. vulgare (domesticated barley)
Lineage: Eukaryota; Viridiplantae; Streptophyta; Magnoliopsida; Poales; Poaceae
Source: Rfam